GCACUGCUGAGGAGUCCCAUACCCCAGGACGAAACGGCCGUCCAGUGC
This 48-nucleotide non-coding RNA is filed under the name Schistosoma margrebowiei. Lineage: Eukaryota; Metazoa; Platyhelminthes; Trematoda; Strigeidida; Schistosomatidae. The record is from RNAcentral.